UAACAUGAAGAACACUGUAUUAGUCUGAUU
This 30-nucleotide non-coding RNA is filed under the name Cricetulus griseus (Chinese hamster). Lineage: Eukaryota; Metazoa; Chordata; Mammalia; Rodentia; Cricetidae. The record is from RNAcentral.